Herpailurus yagouaroundi (jaguarundi) is the source of this 566-nucleotide long non-coding RNA. RefSeq lists it as uncharacterized. The transcript is spliced from 3 exons. Lineage: Eukaryota; Metazoa; Chordata; Mammalia; Carnivora; Felidae. The record is from RefSeq and is a predicted model, not a curated record.
CAGGGGAGGAACUGCUCUUCUCUACAUGGUCCCUGCCACUCUCAAGGCCAGACUUCAGGAGAUGAGAGUAUCCAUGAAAAUAGGAACAGGCCAAUGGGAGGAGCAGGAGUGAUUCCUAUGUGAAUUCCUGAGCAAACUGAAGGGGAAGCAACAGCCUUUUUGUAGCUGCCAGUCACUGAGGCUGGGUCAUCUCCUUAGCAUAUGACAGUGACCACAUUGCAGUGGCUGCACCUUUCGUCUCCCUUCAGUUUCUGACUCCUGUGCCAGCUUUUUCCCAAGGCACUCAUUUCACAUCAGAUGAAGCGGUGCAACACGCUCGUGCCCAUGAAUUCACUGAUCAGGCCAUGUUCUUCAACAUUCUGAAGCAUCCGGCUCGAAUGAACAGACUAGCAGCCUCUUGAAGACUCAGUUGCUCUGGCAGCCACAUGGCAACCCCUUUCAGGACACGUUCUUUGCUCUAAACACAUGUGCACUACGUGGCACUGUUUCUCCCAUAGCUGGCAUUCCUGCGUCCAGGAAUCAGGGACUGUAAUUGGGAGCAUUUCCCCACUGAUAAACCUGGAGAC